RNAcentral lists this ribosomal RNA (405 nucleotides) under uncultured bacterium. RNAcentral's name for it is "bacterial SSU rRNA". It matches the Rfam family "Bacterial small subunit ribosomal RNA", at positions 354 to 776 of the family's 1533-position model. The record is from RNAcentral.
GUGGGGAAUCUUGGACAAUGGGGGCAACCCUGAUCCAGCGACGCCGCGUGGGUGAUGAAGGCCUUCGGGUCGUAAAGCCCUUUUGCCGGGGAAGAUGAUGACGGUACCCGGAGAAGAAGCACCGGCUAACUCUGUGCCAGCAGCCGCGGUAAGACAGAGGGUGCUAGCGUUGUUCGGAAUUACUGGGCGUAAAGGGCGCGUAGGCGGCCAUGUAAGUCGGGUGUGAAAUCCCGGGGCUCAACCCCGGAACUGCAUUCGAUACUGUGUGGCUUGAGACCGGAAGAGGUGGGUGGAAUACCCAGUGUAGAGGUGAAAUUCGUAGAUAUUGGGUGGAACACCGGUGGCGAAGGCGGCUCACUGGUCCGGUUCUGACGCUGAGGCGCGAAAGCGUGGGGAGCAAACAGG